GACGAACGCUGGCGGCGUGCUUAACACAUGCAAGUCGAACGGAAAGGCCCUGCUUUUGUGGGGUGCUCGAGUGGCGAACGGGUGCGUAACACGAGUGUCCCCUGCCCGAGACUUUGGUAAGCCUUGAGGACUCUGGGGAUAAUACCGGACAGGAGCCCCUGCCGCAUGGUGGGGGUUGGAAAGUUUCGGCGGUUGGGGAUGGACUCGCGGCUUAUCAGCUUGUUGGUGGGGUAGUGGCUUACCAAGGCGUCGACGGGUAGCCGGCCUGAGAGGGUGACCGGCCACACUGGGACUGAGACACGGCCCAGACUCCUACGGGAGGCAGCAGUGGGGAAUAUUGCACAAUGGGCGGAAGCCUGAUGCAGCGACGCCGCGUGCGGGAUGACGGCCUUCGGGUUGUAAACCGCUUUCGGCAGGGACGAAGCGAGAGUGACGGUAAUGGGUGAAGAAGCACCGGCUAACUACGUG
This 468-nucleotide ribosomal RNA is filed under the name uncultured bacterium. RNAcentral's name for it is "partial 16S ribosomal RNA". It matches the Rfam family "Bacterial small subunit ribosomal RNA", at positions 28 to 507 of the family's 1533-position model. The record is from RNAcentral.